RNAcentral lists this ribosomal RNA (634 nucleotides) under uncultured bacterium. RNAcentral describes it as "bacterial SSU rRNA". It matches the Rfam family "Bacterial small subunit ribosomal RNA", at positions 91 to 712 of the family's 1533-position model. The record is from RNAcentral.
CUUAGUGGCGAACGGGUGAGUAACAGGUAGGUAAUCUACCCUAGAGACGGGGAUAACGUUUGGAAACGAACGCUAAUACCGGAUAGUAUAGUAAACCGCAUGGUUAAGUAUUUAAAGGUGCUUCGGCAUCACUCUAGGAGGAGCCUGCUUCGUAUUAGCUAGUUGGUAAGGUAACGGCUUACCAAGGCAAUGAUGCGUAGCCGAGCUGAGAGGCUGAUCGGCCACACUGGAACUGAGACACGGUCCAGACUCCUACGGGAGGCAGCAGUUAGGGAUAUUCGGCAAUGGGGGAAACCCUGACCGAGCAAUGCCGCGUGAACGAAGAAGUAUUUCGAUAUGUAAAGUUCUGUUGUUCAGGAAGACAGAUAGUGAUAGGAAAUGAUCAUUAUUUGACGGUACUUGACCAGAAAGCCCCUGCUAACUACGUGCCAGCAGCAGCGCGUAAUACGUAGGGGGCGAGCGUUAUCCGGAAUCAUUGGGCGUCAAGGGUGCGUAUGCGGCCUAUUAAGUCAGACUUGAAAGCCCACGGCUUACACGUGGAGGGUGCUUUGAAACUGAUACGCUUGAAUCCAGAAGACGCAAGUGCGAAUCUACCUGGAGCGGUGGAAUGCGUAGAUCUCUGGACGAACACCAG